GACGAACGCUGGCGGCGUGCCUAAUACAUGCAAGUAGAACGCUGAAGGAGUAGCUUGCUUCUCUGGAUGAGUUGCGAACGGGUGAGUAACGCGUAGGUAACCUGCCUUGUAGCUUGGGAUAACUUUUGGAAACGAUAGCUAAUACCGCAUAAUAGUAGAUGUUGCAUGACAUUUGCGUAAAAGUUGCAAUUUCAUCACUACCAGAUGGACCUGCGUUGUUUUAUCUAGUUGGGGGGGUAACGGCUCAACAAGGCGACUAUGCAUAUCCGACCUGAGAGGGUGAUCGGCCAAACUGGGACGGGGACAAGGCCCAGACUUCCGAGGGAAGGAGCCGGAGGGAAUCUUCGGCCAUGGGCGGCAGUCUGACCGAGCACCGCCGCGGGAGUGAAGAAGGUCUUCGGGUCGUAAAGCUCUGUUGUAAGGGAAGAAAGAGCGUGAGAGUGGAAAGUUGACACUGUGACGGUAUCUUACGAAAAAGCACCGGCUAACUACGUG
Molecule: ribosomal RNA, 495 nt
Filed under: uncultured bacterium
Lineage: Bacteria
Description: partial 16S ribosomal RNA
Rfam family: Bacterial small subunit ribosomal RNA
Source: RNAcentral